RNAcentral lists this long non-coding RNA (300 nucleotides) under Elaeis guineensis (African oil palm). RNAcentral's name for it is "long non-coding RNA (EGUI_LNC082969)". Lineage: Eukaryota; Viridiplantae; Streptophyta; Magnoliopsida; Arecales; Arecaceae. The record is from RNAcentral.
AGACUUCAUGGUUCAUUUUAACGUGACCACACUUGAGGUCAGGGAUCUCAAUGAAGACAUGACCAUAUCGACCAUAGAAAGGGGUCUAAGGAGAUCCAGAUUCACUUACUCUCUAGACAAAUCUCUUCUCCGGACCUAUGCUGAACUUCUAGAGUGCACAUACAAGUACAUUCAUAUGGAUGAUCUGUAUGGACUUUGCUUUGAGUCAAAGAGAAUUCAUAUUCCCCCUCCAUAUUUUUCUUCUACUUUCAAUGCAACUUAUGUGUUUUGCCAAUUGAAAUUUCAGUCACUAGUCACUCA